This is a non-coding RNA of Salmo salar (Atlantic salmon), 2424 nucleotides long. The record is from RefSeq and is a predicted model, not a curated record. NCBI's taxonomy places the organism in Eukaryota, Metazoa, Chordata, Actinopteri, Salmoniformes, Salmonidae.
GGAAGUUCCGGUCAGGCGCGCAUCAUUCUUCAUAACGAAGAAAGCGCCAGAAUUGUGCAGUAGAGACGAUUACUUUAGUCUCCGUUUCAAAUUGAUUGCUACAGUGAGUGAAGAACGCAGUCAAACACGAGCUGAAUGUCAACAUUAAAGAUGAAGAAGAGGAGAAGAUUGGGAAAUCUGUUUCUCAUGGUCAUGUUGAGACAUGCUCUACAUCCAGAGAGCAACAGCAGGAAGAUCAGAGCUAAGAGGUCUCACCACUGCCCACAUUGUGAGGAGAUUUUCCCAAUUCUAUCAAAACUAGAAAUGCACCUAAAAAUACACACAAGAGAUCAUCUGUAUUCCUGUACUGACUGUGGGAAAAGAUUCAAAACAUCACAUUCUCUGACAGUUCAUCCGAGUGCACACAGGAGAGAAGCCUUACUCCUGCUCUGACUGUGGGGGGGAGAUUCUUGACGGAGCCACUUAAAAAGACACCAACAUAUACAAACAGGAGAGAAGCCUUACUUCUGCUCUGACUGUGGGAAGAGUUUCUCCCUAUUAGAUAACUUAAAAGCACAUGCACGUAUACAUACAGGAGAAAAGCCUUACUCUUGCUCUGACUGUGGGAAGAGGUUCUCUCAAUGGAGCAACUUAAAAAUACACCAACGUUUACAUACAGGAGAAAAGCCUUAUUCCUGCUCGGACUGUGAAAAGAGUUUCUCCCAAUUGGAUAAGUUAAAUAGUCACCAGCGAAUACAUACAGGAGAGAAGCCUUACUUCUGCUCUGACUGUGGGACUUGUUUCAGCCAAAUUGAUACCUUAAAAUGUCACCAACGAAUACAUAUAGGAGAGAAGCCUUACUCUUGCUCUGACUGUGGGCAGAGCUUCUCUCAACACAGCAGCUUAAAGGAACACCAACGUAUACACACAGGAGAGAAGCCUUACUCCUGCUCUGAAUGUGGGAUGAGUUUCUCUCCACAGGACAGCUUGAAAACCACACCAAAGUAUACACACAGGAGAGAAGCCUUACUUCUGCUCUGACUGUGGAAAGAAUUUCUCUCGACACAGCAGCUUAAAGAAACACCAACGUAUACACACAGGAGAGAAGCCUUACUCCUGCUUUGAAUGUGGGAAGAGUUUUACAACAUCAAGUGCUCUGACAGUUCAUCAGGGAGUGCACACAGGAGAGAAGCCAUACUCCUGCUCUGACUGUGGGGUAGUUACUAUCGACUGGGAAACUUAGAAACACACCAUCGUACACAUACGGGAGAGAAGCCUUACUCUUGUUCUGACUGUGGUAAAUGCUUCACAACAUCAAGUGCUCUGACAGUUCAUCAGAAAACACACACAGGAGAGAAGCACACCAACGCAUACACACAAGCCAAGACUUUUGCAGAUUAAAAUCUUACGUUUUCGGUGGAUUGGCAAUGGACCCAUUUUAAAGUAUCCUUUUUUGGUAACAAAAGGAGAGAAGCUUCAUCAGUUCUCUCAGACCAGCAAAGAUUAAAGUCACUCCAUCACUUAAUUCUCAUUAAAGAAGUGGUAAGUGAAUUGGAUCAAAUGAAGAAAGUGUAGAACACUACUGUAAUCCUAUUGUUUCUCACUGUGAGAGAACUGUGCAGAGGAAAAGGAGCAUUACAGAAUGUUAGCCUCUCUUUACUGAUCAGUGUGCAUCUUGUCAGUUUUGGUGUGUUUUGUUAGCUUCUACUGCAAAGAUAUUGAGAUGUCCUUGGAUUGGCCCUUAGUGUUGAAUAUCCUCUUAGGUUUCUCUUGUUGAAACUAUGUAGUCUGAUGGUUGACUGGAUGGUACUGCUUCCCUCUGUAGUUUUCUGUGGGAAUGCGCUAGUAGACACAGCAUGUAUGAGAUAGAGAUGGUGUGAUGAUCAGUUUUCAGCAUAUAUAUGCCUUACUCCUUGUUUUUCUAUUGGUAACCCAACAGAAAAACAAGUAAAAAUAAAUUAAAUGCAGCUAGUUGGCUGUUAUUCUAGCUACACGGUUUCACGUGACUGUUAGCCGUAGUUGGCUAGCUAGCAAGCAAGCAAGGGAUAAGAAACGACUUGGUCGCAUCCGUAGAUACAGAAUAAUAAUACUUUGACUGGAUCGAGUCUCUGGCAACCUAUCCAAUAGAAUGAACGGACAUCUUUUCUCAGCCAAUCAAAAUCAUGAAUCAGCGUGAUUUUAUGGAUAUAUACAAAGAAAUGUUGAUAGAAAAACAGGUAAAACGACAUGAAAUGCAGCUAGUUUGCUGUGUUACCAGCGUCAGUUUGAAAUAAUUGUGUUUGCUGUGUAGAUGGCUAGCUUCUCUGAACAGUGUCCUGACUAGCUUCUUUGAACAGUGUCCUGACCAGAGAGCACAUUUUCUAUGCCAUGUGAAAUCCAAAACAGCUUAAACAAAUGCAGAUGCAGCUACUUUGCUGUUAUUCUAGCUGCACUGUUUGACCUGUU